GAGAAAGCAAUGAAAAGAAGAGUACAUCUGAUGAACGUUCUAAGAGAGUCCCGUUAAGCUGAGAGGGGAUAACGAUAAUGAGAUGGAAGAUGGUCUUUGAGCAGAAUUGACGAGCGUAAGUGAGUCAGUUACGGGAGUGCCCGUUACAGCACCUCAGUAUGCGAAUUGCAACGUUCAAGUACUGGAUGAGGUGGUUGUCGCGAGGCAAUCACAAAUAUAGGUGGUAACACGAAAGUCAAGCUUUCGUCCUAAGU
This 254-nucleotide non-coding RNA is filed under the name Enterococcus pallens. Its description in RNAcentral is "T-box sequence". It matches the Rfam family "T-box leader". Rfam says of the family: Uncharged tRNA acts as the effector for transcription antitermination of genes in the T-box leader family. The record is from RNAcentral. Lineage: Bacteria; Bacillati; Bacillota; Bacilli; Lactobacillales; Enterococcaceae.